RNAcentral lists this ribosomal RNA (1372 nucleotides) under uncultured bacterium. Its description in RNAcentral is "bacterial SSU rRNA". It matches the Rfam family "Bacterial small subunit ribosomal RNA", at positions 28 to 1381 of the family's 1533-position model. The record is from RNAcentral.
GAUGAACGCUGGCGGCGUGCCUAAUACAUGCAAGUCGAGCGAACGGACGAGAAGCUUGCUUCUCUGAUGUUAGCGGCGGACGGGUGAGUAACACGUGGAUAACCUACCUAUAAGACUGGGAUAACUUCGGGAAACCGGAGCUAAUACCGGAUAAUAUUUUGAACCGCAUGGUUCAAAAGUGAAAGACGGUCUUGCUGUCACUUAUAGAUGGAUCCGCGCUGCAUUAGCUAGUUGGUAAGGUAACGGCUUACCAAGGCAACGAUGCAUAGCCGACCUGAGAGGGUGAUCGGCCACACUGGAACUGAGACACGGUCCAGACUCCUACGGGAGGCAGCAGUAGGGAAUCUUCCGCAAUGGGCGAAAGCCUGACGGAGCAACGCCGCGUGAGUGACGAAGGUCUUCGGAUCGUAAAACUCUGUUAUUAGGGAAGAACAUAUGUGUAAGUAACUGUGCACAUCUUGACGGUACCUAAUCAGAAAGCCACGGCUAACUACGUGCCAGCAGCCGCGGUAAUACGUAGGUGGCAAGCGUUAUCCGGAAUUAUUGGGCGUAAAGCGCGCGUAGGCGGUUUUUUAAGUCUGAUGUGAAAGCCCACGGCUCAACCGUGGAGGGUCAUUGGAAACUGGAAAACUUGAGUGCAGAAGAGGAAAGUGGAAUUCCAUGUGUAGCGGUGAAAUGCGCAGAGAUAUGGAGGAACACCAGUGGCGAAGGCGACUUUCUGGUCUGUAACUGACGCUGAUGUGCGAAAGCGUGGGGAUCAAACAGGAUUAGAUACCCUGGUAGUCCACGCCGUAAACGAUGAGUGCUAAGUGUUAGGGGGUUUCCGCCCCUUAGUGCUGCAGCUAACGCAUUAAGCACUCCGCCUGGGGAGUACGACCGCAAGGUUGAAACUCAAAGGAAUUGACGGGGACCCGCACAAGCGGUGGAGCAUGUGGUUUAAUUCGAAGCAACGCGAAGAACCUUACCAAAUCUUGACAUCCUUUGACAACUCUAGAGAUAGAGCCUUCCCCUUCGGGGGACAAAGUGACAGGUGGUGCAUGGUUGUCGUCAGCUCGUGUCGUGAGAUGUUGGGUUAAGUCCCGCAACGAGCGCAACCCUUAAGCUUAGUUGCCAUCAUUAAGUUGGGCACUCUAAGUUGACUGCCGGUGACAAACCGGAGGAAGGUGGGGAUGACGUCAAAUCAUCAUGCCCCUUAUGAUUUGGGCUACACACGUGCUACAAUGGACAAUACAAAGGGCAGCGAAACCGCGAGGUCAAGCAAAUCCCAUAAAGUUGUUCUCAGUUCGGAUUGUAGUCUGCAACUCGACUACAUGAAGCUGGAAUCGCUAGUAAUCGUAGAUCAGCAUGCUACGGUGAAUACGUUCCCGGGUCU